UCAAGUUAGAGAAACUCUACAGUCCUCAAGGGGGGUAAGAAAUACCCAACAAAAGAAGUGCAAUAUUUGCCUUCUCAUUUUGCUAAUUGAUGGAAGACAUGAUUAGCUAAAAGAGGAGACCAAGAGAAGGACAAACCUAAAUCACUAGCAACAUCUAGUCAUAGAGCUUUGCCUAUCAAAAAAAAAAAAAAACAUCUAGUCAUAGAGCAAUGUUGACCUACAGGAAGCAAAAACUAGCAGCGUUGAAGACUUAUAGUAAGUAGAGAAAAUGCAGUCAUAUGUUGAUUAAUGGGGGAAUUUUUAGACAACUUUUUCGAUAUCAAGAAUGGGUUUUCCAGCA
This 340-nucleotide long non-coding RNA is filed under the name Vitis vinifera (wine grape). Its description in RNAcentral is "long non-coding RNA (VVIN_LNC003838)". Lineage: Eukaryota; Viridiplantae; Streptophyta; Magnoliopsida; Vitales; Vitaceae. The record is from RNAcentral.